Molecule: long non-coding RNA, 277 nt
Organism: Tyto alba (common barn owl)
Lineage: Eukaryota; Metazoa; Chordata; Aves; Strigiformes; Tytonidae
Exons: 3
Source: RefSeq, a predicted model, not a curated record
UCUCAAAAUCUUGCAAUGCUGUGUGAUGACCCCUGCCAAAAGAAGGAAAGUGCCUGGGCUACAUUCUUACCUACCUCACAGCUUAAGUAGCGAAUACGAUUGAUUCUGCAUAAUUUUUUCCCCUUUGGACAGUUGUCUUUCCUUUAUGGAAUAUUUCUGGUUAAGUCAGUGAAGUUACCUGUGUGUAAUUCUGGAUUAAUCCAUUGAAGGCUGCAAUGGACCACUCAGUGCACACAUACUCUGCGUUUCUCAUACCCAGAACCUCGCUGUGUUGGAG